AUACGGAGGGUCCAAGCGUUAUCCGGAUUCAUUGGGUUUAAAGGGUCCGCAGGCGGGAAAAUAAGUCAGUGGUGAAAGCCUACAGCUCAACCGUAGAACUGCCAUUGAAACUGUUUUUCUUGAGUAUAGAUGAAGUGGGCGGAAUAUAUCAUGUAGCGGUGAAAUGCAUAGAUAUGAUAUAGAACACCGAUUGCGAAGGCAGCUCACUAAACUAUUACUGACGCUCAGGGGCGAAAGCGUGGGGAGCGAACAGGAUUAGAUACCCCGGUAGUCC
This 274-nucleotide ribosomal RNA is filed under the name uncultured bacterium. RNAcentral's name for it is "partial 16S ribosomal RNA". It matches the Rfam family "Bacterial small subunit ribosomal RNA", at positions 523 to 796 of the family's 1533-position model. The record is from RNAcentral.